RNAcentral lists this ribosomal RNA (429 nucleotides) under Chloroflexota bacterium. Its description in RNAcentral is "Chloroflexi bacterium partial 16S ribosomal RNA". It matches the Rfam family "Bacterial small subunit ribosomal RNA", at positions 355 to 776 of the family's 1533-position model. The record is from RNAcentral. Lineage: Bacteria; Bacillati; Chloroflexota.
UGGGGAAUAUUGCACAAUGGGCGCAAGCCUGAUGCAGCCAUGCCGCGUGUAUGAAGAAGGCCUUCGGGUUGUAAAGUACUUUCAGCGGGGAGGAAGGGAGUAAAGUUAAUACCUUUGCUCAUUGACGUUACCCGCAGAAGAAGCACCUGCUAACUCCGUGCCAGCAGCCGCGGUAAUACGGAGGGUGCAAGCGUUAAUCGGAAUUACUGGGCGUAAAGCGCACGCAGGCGGUUUGUUAAGUCAGAUGUGAAAUCCUCGGGCUCAACCUGGGAACUGCAUCUGAUACUGGCAAGCUUGAGUCUCGUAGAGGGGGGUAGAAUUCCAGGUGUAGCGGUGAAAUGCGUAGAGAUCUGGAGGAAUACCGGUGGCGAAGGAGGCCCCCUGGACGAAGACUGACGCUCAGGUGCGAAAGCGUGGGGAGCAAACAGG